GAUGAACGCUGGCGGCGUGCCUAAUACAUGCAAGUCGAGCGAACAGACGAGGAGCUUGCUCCUAUGACGUUAGCGGCGGACGGGUGAGUAACACGUGGAUAACCUACCUAUAAGACUGGGAUAACUUCGGGAAACCGGAGCUAAUACCGGAUAUUAUAUUGAACCGCAUGGUUCAAUAGUGAAAGACGGUUUUGCUGUCACUUAUAGAUGGAUCCGCGCCGCAUUAGCUAGUUGGUAAGGUAACGGCUUACCAAGGCAACGAUGCGUAGCCGACCUGAGAGGGUGAUCGGCCACACUGGAACUGAGACACGGUCCAGACUCCUACGGGAGGCAGCAGUAGGGAAUCUGCCGCAAUGGGCGAAAGCCUGACGGAGCAACGCCGCGUGAGUGAUGAAGGUCUUCGGAUCGUAAAACUCUGUUAUUAGGGAAGAACAAAUGUGUAAGUAACUAUGCACGUCUUGACGGUACCUAAUCAGAAAGCCACGGCUAACUACGUG
RNAcentral lists this ribosomal RNA (497 nucleotides) under uncultured bacterium. Its description in RNAcentral is "partial 16S ribosomal RNA". It matches the Rfam family "Bacterial small subunit ribosomal RNA", at positions 28 to 507 of the family's 1533-position model. The record is from RNAcentral.